RNAcentral lists this ribosomal RNA (2118 nucleotides) under Triticum aestivum (bread wheat). RNAcentral's name for it is "partial small subunit ribosomal RNA". The record is from RNAcentral. Lineage: Eukaryota; Viridiplantae; Streptophyta; Magnoliopsida; Poales; Poaceae.
AUGCCUUUCGGUCUUUCUAAUGCUCCAAGUACAUUUAUGAGGUUGAUGAAUCAUGUAUUACGACCUUUUAUUGGAAAGUUUGUUGUCGUAUAUUUUGAUGACAUACUAGUAUAUAGCAGUAGCAUGGAAGACCACCUGCAGCACUUGAGAGAAGUGUUAUGCGCUUUACGGCGUGAGCAGUUGUAUGCUAAUCCAAAGAAGUGUGAGUUGUUGGUCUCUUCAGUCAAUUUCUUGGGGUUUAUUGUGUCUGGAAGAGGCUUACAAGUUGAUCCAAGCAAGGUUGAAGCAAUUCUUAGUUGGCCAGCUCCACGCACAUUAACUGAAGCUCGUAGCUUUCAUGGGCUUGCUUCUUUUUAUAGACGCUUUAUUCGCAACUUCAGCACAAUCAUGGCACCUUUCACUGAUUGCAUGAAACGAGGUGGAGCUUUUGUAUUAACGGAAGAAGCGAGGCAAGCUUUCGAGGAGAUUAAGGCCAAAGUGGCAUCUACUGAUUGUCUAGCCUUGCCGGAUUUUAACAAGUUGUUUGAAGUGGAUUGUGAUGCAUCAGGAAAAGGAAUUGGUGCUGUUCUUAGUCAAGAAUCUCGUCCUGUGUCUUUCUUCAGUGAGAAACUGACAUGUGCACAACUACACUAUUCAACUUAUGAAGCUGAGUUGUAUGCAGUGGUUCGAGCAUUGCAACACUGGAGGCAUUACCUACUACAUCAAGAGUUUAUUUUGUAUAGUGAUCAUGAAGCACUAAAAUACAUCCGAAAUCAGCCAAACCUGAACCGUAAACAUGCACGGUGGGCAAGCUUUUUGGAAGAGUAUAAUUUUGUACUCAAGCACAAAUCUGGAGCACAAAACAGGGUAGCUGAUGCACUGAGCCGCAGAGCACAAUGCCUAAGCAUGAUGAGGGUUCAAGUUGUUGGUUUUGACAGUAUUCCGGAGCUCUAUACUACUGAUCCCUUUUUCAACAAGAUUUAUGAGGCUGCUCAAGAAAGAAACUCUGCUGAAUAUACCAUCCAUGAAGGAUUUCUUUUUCGUGGGGUUCAACUCUGCAUUCCAAACAGCUCUGUACGUGAUCUGAUCAUAAAGGAGAUUCACAAUGAAGGGCAUCGAGGCCGAGACAAAUCUGUAGAACUAUUGCUGAAACAGUAUUUUUGGCCCCAUGCUCGACGAGAUAUGGAAAGGUUCGUGAAGAGAUGUCAUGUCUGUCAAGUUUCAAAAGGUACAACUACGAAUGCAGGUUUGUAUAUGCCCUUACCUGUACCUGAUGCACCAUGGAUAGAUAUAAGUAUGGAUUUUGUUCUAGGUCUCCCACAAACACAGCGUCGAGUGGACUCCAUCUUUGUCGUGGUAGACAGAUUCAGCAAAAUGGCGCACUUCAUAGCCUGCCGCAAGACAUCUGAUGCUAGUCAAAUUUCUGUUUUGUUCUUUCGAGAAAUAGUGUGGUUGCAUGGUGUGCCAAGGAGUAUCACCUCUGACCGAGACACCAAGUUCAUGUCUCAUUUUUGGCGAUCGUUGUGGAGACAAAUGGGAACUACUUUGAAUUUCAGCACGGCUUAUCAUCCACAGAGUCAAACUGAAGUGGUAAAUAGAAGCUUAGGGAAGAUGUUACGAGCUCUUGUAGGCGACAAGCCGAAACAAUGGGACACAAUUCUACCACAUGCUGAGUUUGCCUUCAAUAGAACACCGAAUCGUUCUACUGGACUAUGCCCCUUUGAGAUAAUUUAUGGUAGAGUCCCCAACGGAGUUCUAGAACUAGCACCUAUACCUGCCGUUGGAAAGAAAAUUUUGAAAGCAGAGAAUAUGGUAGAAGAGAUGGGCUCAAUUUAUAAACUUGUACAUCAACGAAUACAAGAAAGCAAUGCUAAAUAUAAGGCUGCAGCUGACCAACACCGUCGUCAGGUCGUGUUUGGAGAAGGAGAUUUGGUAUGGGCUAUCCUCACCAAAGAUCGUUUUCCCGCUGGAGAAUACAAUAAGUUAAGCCAGAGGAAAAUAGGACCGUGCAACGUGAUAAAAAGGGUUAAUAACAACGCGUAUAAACUGGAGCUACCUAGCCAUCUACGCACUUCUGAUGUGUUCAAUGUUAGGCAUCUUGUGCCAUAUCAUCAGGAAACAUCUGAAGUUCAGGUUUAA